CGCACAUUGCGCCCCUUGGUAUUCCGAAGGGCAUGCCUGUUCGAGCGUCAUUUCAACCCUCAAGCCUAGCUUGGUAUUGGACGCGGUCCUAGGACCCGUCCGCAACCCGUUGGCGGUACCGUCCGGCCUCAAGCGUAACAGAAAUCUCGCUUCUGGGUUGACGCGGCGUCUGCCAGAGGAACCACCCAACUCCUAUAGUUUGACCUUGGAUCAGGUAGGGUUACCCGCUGAACUUAA
RNAcentral lists this unclassified non-coding RNA (237 nucleotides) under fungal sp. RNAcentral describes it as "partial contains 5.8S ribosomal RNA, internal transcribed spacer 2, and large subunit ribosomal RNA". Lineage: Eukaryota; Fungi. The record is from RNAcentral.